This 277-nucleotide unclassified non-coding RNA is filed under the name Hevea brasiliensis (rubber tree). The record is from RNAcentral. Lineage: Eukaryota; Viridiplantae; Streptophyta; Magnoliopsida; Malpighiales; Euphorbiaceae.
UUAUCUCUACACUCUUUAGGGUGGCAUAUGCAUCUCAAUCCAACUCCACAAUUUCCAUUAGGUUUUUCGCAUUCGUUGCAGAUAACUGGGGCAUGAUUAGGAAUGUCAAAAGAUAUCCUUGUUCCCAACUUAUGUUCCUGGUAGGAAUCAUUGCUCGAAGAACUACUAUACACCUGGCUAUAUUGUGAGCAAUUCAAAUCUUUUGGAUGAAAACCCUUGUCAAGUUUUUCAAUAUCAUUAACAAGAAGACACGAAUAUGGGAUUUCAUGUUCUUGAG